This 468-nucleotide unclassified non-coding RNA is filed under the name Hevea brasiliensis (rubber tree). The record is from RNAcentral. Lineage: Eukaryota; Viridiplantae; Streptophyta; Magnoliopsida; Malpighiales; Euphorbiaceae.
UUCUUUUUUUUUUUUUUUUAAUUCAAUGAUGAUCUGAUCUAAUAGAUCUCUUACUGAAAAUUGAAGAUGAUGAUGCAAAAAUUAGCAGUUAACAUUCUUAUACCAUUCAUGAACAAGUAAAUAAAAAAUUUGGGGAAUAGAAAGUUAAACCUAAACAAAACUAAAUUAAACCAAGCAUUUGAACAAAUUUAAUAUUCAAUUAGAUUGCAAUAUUUGUUGGUUAAGAUUGCAAACCUAAAUAAUUUAGUGGUGGCAAGUGAAAUUAAACCAAAACUCUCAAUGCUUAUGCUCCAUGACUUACUCGCUAACUUCAUCCUACCUGAGCCCAAAUCCAACUCAUAUUACUAGGGACACCAUUAAGUCUUGACAAUUAAAUACUAGUGCUUUUAAUGUUCAUUACCAGAGGCACAUUUUUAGGAAUGACAUUUUCCUAAGCAUUUUAAAACAUAAAUCAGAAAUUGAGUUUUC